This 88-nucleotide transfer RNA is filed under the name Acidimicrobiia bacterium. RNAcentral's name for it is "tRNA-Ser". It matches the Rfam family "tRNA". From Rfam's summary of the family: Transfer RNA (tRNA) molecules are approximately 80 nucleotides in length. Lineage: Bacteria; Bacillati; Actinomycetota; Acidimicrobiia. RNAcentral also lists the same sequence under 1 other name. The record is from RNAcentral.
GGAGGGAUGCGAGAGCGGUCGAAUCGGGCAGUCUUGAAAACUGCUGGGCUUGCGGGUCCCGUGGGUUCGAAUCCCACUCCCUCCGCCA